UUCAAAGUGCUUUGCUAUGUCUGUCUUGUAGGUCCAGUUUGUGGCAGUUAUGUUGCAUAUAUGAGAAUGGAACAAUAUUAUUAAACAUAAUGAGAUUAGAAUUUGUAUAUUUUUCUUAUUCUAACAAUGCUUCAAGAAUCAAUGUAUUAAUGGUGGCGAGUUGGUGGAAAUGCUUGGAAUUGUAAUAACUAGUUUUUUCAUUAUGACAUUUGAUGAUUUGAUUAUCUACUUGCUAAUGUAUCUAUUUAUGUCUUCAAUUCGAACCUCUAGGCAAUUUUAUGAGUUUUUUCUGUUAAUACAUAUAUUUCUGCAGAACAGAGUAAAAACCAAGUCUUGCAAUUUUUCUUCUAUCACUUUUUAUAUAGGAUCUUGACCAAAGAAAAACUUUUAUUUUAUUUUUCUGUCCAGUUAUUGUAUUCAUGGAGGUGAUGAAAUGCUUGUGCUAGAACUUUCUAGUAUGCACCACUAGUGAUAAUAUUAUUUUGUAGUGACCAAGACAUGUCCAAUUUUGAUUGCAGGUCGAUGGUGGAUUAGGGCCUUCAACCAUAGAUGCAGUUGCAUCAGCAAGAGCGAAUUGCACUGUUGGAAGUUAAGUGGUGAGCACCUGAGCCAGCUCAAGUUAUAUACCUGCUGAGGAAUAUUGUAGAGAACGCAUAAUAAACAGAGUAAAGAUAUGUCAUUUAUGUUGCGGUACAAGUCGCAACUUCACAUAUUCAAUAUGCUUGGAAGGGGUGAAUUCCAUCAUUGCUGAAUGUAGCACUCAAAUGCAUGGGCAAUAUUUAGAGAAUGUGGUGCAACUUUCUUUGGAAAUUAUAAUAUUUGUCCUUGAAAAAGAUUUGUUUCUUUCUGAUUAUUGGCGUCCACCGUACAAGGCCAUGAAUAAAGUUUAUAAGCAUGAUAGGGAUCUUGUGAACAUUAAGGUUGUAAAUAAUUUAACGUAGUUGAUUGCGGGAUGAUUUGGAGAGGACGAUGAUGCGGCAUACAAUCAACUAAGAUCAUCUACUGUAUGUUAUCUUGAUACUAGCUCCUAUUUAUCAUUUGUGAAGGUUCUUCAAAUAAUAUUUGUCAGCCAGGAUUUGAACAUGUAUUAUGAGGAAACGGAUAAGCCAGCGUAUGCUCGUACGUCGAAUUUUAAUGAAGAACUUGGUCAAGUUGAUAACAUACUUUCUGAAAGGUCUUAUAACUUUUUGAAUGUAUUAAAGUUUACUAGUGUAUGAAACCGGAUCUCGGUAAUCGUAAGAGACCACAAUGGGAAACUAUUACUUCUUAGUAAAGGUGCUAUUGCUGAUAGUGUCAUGUUUGAACUACUGGGAAAAACUGUUAAGAGAGUUUAAAUAGCUGAAUAAGUAUCACAUUAACGAAUAUGCUGAUUUUGGUUUAAGGACAUUGAUACUCGCCUAUCGUGAAUUCGGUGAAGAAGAGUACAAUCAAUUUAAUAAAGAGCUGACAGAUGCUAAAAACUUAGUAAGUGCAGAUCAGGAGCAGAUUGUUGAGGAUAUAUUGCAAAAUAUUAAAAAAGAUUUAAUUCUUCUUGGUGCUACCACAGCCGAGGAUAAACUACAAUAGGGGGUUCCUUAAUGCAUUGACAAACUAUCAUAGGCUAGGAUUAAGUUAUGGGCAUUGGACAUGUGAUAAAAUGGAAACAUAAAUUAAUAUUAGGUAAGCUUAAAGAUUAUAUAGAUAAAUUUUAAUAUUAUGUAUUUGCA
Long non-coding RNA from Vicia villosa (hairy vetch), 1706 nucleotides. RefSeq lists it as uncharacterized. The record is from RefSeq and is a predicted model, not a curated record. NCBI's taxonomy places the organism in Eukaryota, Viridiplantae, Streptophyta, Magnoliopsida, Fabales, Fabaceae. The transcript has 5 exons.